Molecule: ribosomal RNA, 427 nt
Filed under: uncultured beta proteobacterium
Lineage: Bacteria; Pseudomonadati; Pseudomonadota; Betaproteobacteria
Description: bacterial SSU rRNA
Rfam family: Bacterial small subunit ribosomal RNA
Source: RNAcentral
UGGGGAAUUUUGGACAAUGGGCGAAAGCCUGAUCCAGCCAUGCCGCGUGAGUGAAGAAGGCCUUCGGGUUGUAAAGCUCUUUUAGUCGGGAAGAAAAGAUCAUAAUGAACAAUUAUGAUUCAUGACGGUACCGACAGAAAAAGCACCGGCUAACUACGUGCCAGCAGCCGCGGUAAUACGUAGGGUGCGAGCGUUAAUCGGAAUUACUGGGCGUAAAGGGUGCGCAGGCGGUUUUGUAAGUCAGAUGUGAAAUCCCCGGGCUUAACCUGGGAAUUGCGUUUGAAACUGCAAGACUAGAGUGCAGCAGAGGGGAGUGGAAUUCCAUGUGUAGCAGUGAAAUGCGUAGAGAUGUGGAAGAACACCGAUGGCGAAGGCAGCUCCCUGGGUUGACACUGACGCUCAUGCACGAAAGCGUGGGGAGCAAACA